This 433-nucleotide ribosomal RNA is filed under the name uncultured bacterium. Its description in RNAcentral is "partial 16S ribosomal RNA". It matches the Rfam family "Bacterial small subunit ribosomal RNA", at positions 341 to 792 of the family's 1533-position model. The record is from RNAcentral.
ACGGAAGGCGCAGUGGGGAAUAUUGCACAAUGGGGGAAACCCUGAUGCAGCGACGCCGCGUGAGCGAUGAAGUAUUUCGGUAUGUAAAGCUCUAUCAGCAGGGAAGAUAAUGACGGUACCUGACUAAGAAGCACCGGCUAAAUACGUGCCAGCAGCCGCGGUAAUACGUAUGGUGCAAGCGUUAUCCGGAUUUACUGGGUGUAAAGGGUGCGUAGGUGGCAUGGCAAGUCUGAAGUGAAAGCUCGGGGCUCAACCCCGGAACUGCUUUGGAAACUGUCAAGCUAGAGUGCAGGAGAGGAAAGCGGAAUUCCUAGUGUAGCGGUGAAAUGCGUAGAUAUUAGGAGGAACACCAGUGGCGAAGGCGGCUUUCUGGACUGUAACUGACACUGAGGCACGAAAGCGUGGGGAGCAAACAGGAUUAGAUACCCUGGUA